UACGUAGGGGGCGAGCGUUGUCCGGAUUUAUUGGGCGUAAAGCGAGCGCAGGUGGUUUAUUAAGUCUGGUGUAAAAGGCAGUGGCUCAACCAUUGUAUGCAUUGGAAACUGGUAGACUUGAGUGCAGGAGAGGAGAGUGGAAUUCCAUGUGUAGCGGUGAAAUGCGUAGAUAUAUGAAGGAACACCGGUGGCGAAAGCGGCUCUCUGGCCUGUAACUGACACUGAGGCUCGAAAGCGUGGGUAGCAAACAGG
This 252-nucleotide ribosomal RNA is filed under the name uncultured bacterium. RNAcentral's name for it is "partial 16S ribosomal RNA". It matches the Rfam family "Bacterial small subunit ribosomal RNA", at positions 524 to 776 of the family's 1533-position model. The record is from RNAcentral.